GCCACCCUGAUGCACCUACCCCCAACAUGUAGAAAUUGAAAUUUCACCUACACCUCAGUCAUAGAUGAUUUAUAAUUAAUAUAUUAUUAAUGAUUGACUAUUUAAUAAAAUUACACAUACUAAUGAUAAAUAAUAAUACAUUUUAUAGUGUCAAUGCAUGAUUCAUAUCUUAAUUAUCAAUCAUCUUUAACUAAAGUUUUUUUAUUUUUUAAAAACUGAGCUAAUAUUUGAAUCGCGGAAGGGGUAAGAAGGUGAAGGAAGGUGACUGAGUUGAUUUUGAAGCGUUGGAAGUUCAGAAAAAGGGCAACGUUGGAAGGAUUAGGUGACAGAGAUUAAGAAAUAUGAAGAAUACGACAUUGCAUUGAAUGGCUGCAGCAGCACCUAACUUGGAAGAUGUUCCUUUUUUUGAUCUUAUGUCUGAGCUUAUUCGUCGUUUCAAAUGUUCCUACAGGACUCACAAGCGUCUCAUUCUUAUUG
This is a non-coding RNA of Lupinus albus (white lupine), 477 nucleotides long. Lineage: Eukaryota; Viridiplantae; Streptophyta; Magnoliopsida; Fabales; Fabaceae. The record is from the annotation of a GenBank genome assembly.